AUGAUAGCUGUUUCUCCUGAGGAUAGUAGCGAGUUAAUCCUAGCAACCCAUUUGGGUGGGAAGCCCAUGUGGAUUAAGAGUUGUAGGAGGGGUUUCCCAAGCGAUGGAGUCGAAAGCUUUGCGGAAAUCAAGUUUGAAGAUCAUCGUCGUGGCUUUACUAGAAUGACAACAAUUGAGCAGGUCAGCCGCAUAGAUAAAGUUUUCCGCAAUGGAGCGCACAUUUAUGAACUCUGUUUGGUCGUCCUGAAUAAGGAGCGGUAUCAGGGGUUUCAGUCUAUUUGUGAGGAGCUUGGCAAUGGCUUUUGGAGGGCAAUUCUGAAGGGGGAUGGGCCAGAAAUCAUUUUGCUGAUCUGGCUACACUAUCUUUCGGAUGGAGGACCAUGA
This 384-nucleotide ribosomal RNA is filed under the name Triticum aestivum (bread wheat). RNAcentral's name for it is "partial small subunit ribosomal RNA". The record is from RNAcentral. Lineage: Eukaryota; Viridiplantae; Streptophyta; Magnoliopsida; Poales; Poaceae.